AUCUACGGCCAUACCUUCCUGAAUGCACGCAAUCUUUUCUAAUCUCAGAAGCUAAGCAGGGUUGAGCCUGGUUAGUACCUGGAUGGAAGAUUUGGGGAUAGGACUGUGAACU
Molecule: ribosomal RNA, 112 nt
Organism: Ochotona princeps (American pika)
Lineage: Eukaryota; Metazoa; Chordata; Mammalia; Lagomorpha; Ochotonidae
Source: Ensembl